RNAcentral lists this non-coding RNA (45 nucleotides) under Schistosoma curassoni. Lineage: Eukaryota; Metazoa; Platyhelminthes; Trematoda; Strigeidida; Schistosomatidae. The record is from RNAcentral.
AUCCAGCUGACCAGUACCAAAUAGAACGAAACGCAAGUCCUGAAU